Molecule: long non-coding RNA, 1069 nt
Organism: Lolium rigidum
Lineage: Eukaryota; Viridiplantae; Streptophyta; Magnoliopsida; Poales; Poaceae
Exons: 3
Source: RefSeq, a predicted model, not a curated record
AGAACGCCUACAGGGAGAAGGUCUUCUCAUCCCUGCUGCAGCAUGAACCUGGUCAUGGUGGAGCUCGUCUGUGGGAAUGUGCAGGAGCACCUGACCACUCUACAGCAGGGAAGGGAAGACAGAGGCGCAACGGCUGGGCCUAGGUGGUGGCGGAGCGGGAGCUCGAUGUGCUGGAGCCGGAAGUGGAUUCCUGCUGCUGGAGAUGGAGCCUGAGGCAGUGACGGCGGGACCUCGACAAACUGGCACCGGCGGCGGGAUCCAGGUGAUGGAGCUCGAGGUGCUAUGCAUGCCUACAUGGAGUACCUGCAACAGCCAGUGUUGAGGACACUUCCGUGCUCUUCUGCAACAACGCCUUUCACGUGUUCUCGGCUGCUCCAGCCCUGGCUGGCCAGUGUUGCGAUUGCUAGGAAGAGAGGUGUCUGCUAGUUUCCAUGAUGGCUGAGCAGAGCAGCUUGAGGACGGUGACCCUUUAUUUUAUCUGACAAUGACUACAUCGGCUAUGGAGUAAUGGCAUGACCAUUGUGCUUUUUGUUUGGCUGCACAUGCUGGCACGAAGGGGCUGCCAGACUGUUGCUGACAUGAUCAAGGAGCUGCCAAGCUGAAGAGGUUCAGUUAACUCGAGCAUUGAAGAACCCCUAUCCAUAAUGCCACUUACCGAUCUGGCUUCGCUGGUUGCGGCCUCCAGUAGUAGCCCAUGUGCCUUUUAGUAGCAGUGAUGAAGAAGCCUGGAUGGUGUAAGAGAAUAAGAGUAGAUGAUUUAUGUUUCAAUCGUGGCGGCGAGUACAUGGCUUGGAUGGAGGAGGAAGGCACGGAGCAGAACCAGUGUGUGUGCGCGCGUGCGCCUGCCCACACACAAGUCCAAAAGGUUGUUAUAAUUUUUUGCCUUGCUGGAAGAGUGAGUAGGCUAAGAGCACAUUAGCUACCCAAGGCAUUAGUUGUUGUAUGUGUAGGUAAAAUUUUGGUGAUGAUCAAAUAAUUUAUUUUGGAAAGUUUUCAUUUGUUGAUGCGUUACAGUGCACAUGAGAUUUGUUGCAUAUGUGCCUCUGCAAGCGAGUAUGUGUACCCAACA